GACGAACGCUGGCGGCGUGCCUAAUACAUGCAAGUCGAACGAACCGCGACUGAGUGCUUGCACUUGGUCAAGGUGAGUGGCGAACGGGUGAGUAACACGUGGGUAACCUGCCUCAUAGUGGGGGAUAACAGUCGGAAACGACUGCUAAUACCGCAUAGGACAUGGAAUCACAUGAUUCUGUGAGGAAAGGUGGCGCAAGCUAUCGCUAAGAGAUGGACCCGCGGUGCAUUAGCUAGUUGGUAGGGUAAGGGCCUACCAAGGCGAUGAUGCAUAGCCGACCUGAGAGGGUGAUCGGCCACAUUGGGACUGAGACACGGCCCAAACUCCUACGGGAGGCAGCAGUAGGGAAUCUUCCGCAAUGGACGCAAGUCUGACGGAGCAACGCCGCGUGAGUCAAGAAGGUCUUCGGAUCGUAAAGCUCUGUUGUUAGAGAAGAACAGCGCAUAGAGUAACUGUUAUGCGUGUGACGGUAUCUAACCAGAAAGCCACGGCUAACUACGU
This 501-nucleotide ribosomal RNA is filed under the name uncultured bacterium. Its description in RNAcentral is "partial 16S ribosomal RNA". It matches the Rfam family "Bacterial small subunit ribosomal RNA", at positions 28 to 506 of the family's 1533-position model. The record is from RNAcentral.